AACGAACGCUGGCGGCAUGCCUAACACAUGCAAGUCGAACGAUGGUCUUCGGAUCAUAGUGGCGCACGGGUGCGUAACGCGUGGGAAUCUGCCCUUGUGUUCGGAAUAACAGUUGGAAACGACUGCUAAUACCGGAUGAGGUCGAUAAGACCAAAGAUUUAUCGCGCGAGGAUGAGUCCGCGUCGGAUUAGCUUGUUGGUUGGGUAAAGGCCUCCCAAGUCGACGAUCCGUAGCUGGUCUGAGAGGAUGAUCAGCCACACUGGGACUGAGACACGGCCCAGACUCCUACGGGAGGCAGCAGUGGGGAAUAUUGGACAAUGGGCGCAAGCCUGAUCCAGCAAUGCCGCGUGAGUGAUGAAGGCCUUAGGGUUGUAAAGCUCUUUUACCCGGGAAGAUAAUGACUGAACCGGGAGAAUAAGCCCCGGCUAACUCCGUG
RNAcentral lists this ribosomal RNA (436 nucleotides) under uncultured bacterium. Its description in RNAcentral is "partial 16S ribosomal RNA". It matches the Rfam family "Bacterial small subunit ribosomal RNA", at positions 29 to 507 of the family's 1533-position model. The record is from RNAcentral.